AUUCUUGGAUUUUCUUUUGGACUAUACGUAGAAUACUCCGUAUAGCCUUUAAAUGUCCUUGGAUCCAUAAAAGUUGAACGAAAUUAAGGAAACUAAUCCUGAAAGUUCAAAGUUCCGGCAUAGAAAAACUCCAUCAUUCGUGGAAGCACCGUAGCCUAGUGGUUAUGGUUUAAAGGCUUCUACACCCAGGUCUGGGGUUCAAAUCCCAGACUAUGCAAUUUCUUGCAGAUUGCACAGGAAAUCCAGGUUUCAAUUCCCGGAGCAAGCGAUUUAUUCAACAAUUAUGCGAUUACGGAAGAAAGGCUUACAAGAGUUUCUCAACAUGGUGCAAGUAAAUCCGGUCAGGCGUGAUCUUCAUAGGACGGCUCAAAUGAGGCAGUUAGGCGUAGAUCCUCAUAAGGCAGGUAGUAUUGUCGGUAAUCGAAUCGUCUUUGUAAUCUUUCUCAUAAUUGUAAUAUCUAAAUAAAUCUCCAAAAAAAAAAAAAAGAAAAACUCCAUCAUUGAUGAAAACCAGUUUAAGUCAAAAACAAAAAACUCACCGUAGUCCAACACAUGUUCUCUCAUCCGGGCUUUAUUUUUAGCCCACUUAGCUUUCAUAAUUUACAAAUUAGGCCCAUUAGUUGUAGGACUCACUAAAUACUGUACAUGAUAAUGUUUGAUACAAACAAACAGGCCCAUCUUGUUUGAAUAUUUACAAUAUGCUCCCCAUUUCUAGUACGUCCAUUUAUAUAUCCCAGUAUCUUUGCUAACUUGAAAUAUAGUCCCAAUAUUGGUAUGACUUUACAGAAUGGCCUACCUACUAAAUACAUUAUUUGAGAAUUACAAACUAUGGCUCUUUGUAACACAUGCCAUUUUGUGAUUGGAUACGAUCCAGACUGGCCAAAAGGAAUGUAAAAUAACGUCGAACCAUACUACUACUACUAUCGUCGCAC
RNAcentral lists this long non-coding RNA (932 nucleotides) under Brassica napus (rape). RNAcentral's name for it is "long non-coding RNA (BNAP_LNC006052)". The record is from RNAcentral. Lineage: Eukaryota; Viridiplantae; Streptophyta; Magnoliopsida; Brassicales; Brassicaceae.